This 511-nucleotide ribosomal RNA is filed under the name uncultured bacterium. Its description in RNAcentral is "bacterial SSU rRNA". It matches the Rfam family "Bacterial small subunit ribosomal RNA", at positions 36 to 518 of the family's 1533-position model. The record is from RNAcentral.
CUGGCGGCGUGCCUAAUACAUGCAAGUCGAACGGCUUUUCUAUGGAAGCUUGCUUCCACUGAGAAGAUAGUGGCGAACGGGUGAGUAACACGUGGGUAACCUGCCCAUAAGAGGGGGGAUAACAUCCGGAAACGGGUGCUAAUACCGCAUAGUUUUCUUGAUCGCAUGAUUGAGAAAGGAAAGACGGCCUUUGUGCUGUCGCUUAUGGAUGGACCCGCGGCGUAUUAGUUAGUUGGUGAGGUAACGGCUCACCAAGACGAUGAUACGUAGCCGACCUGAGAGGGUGAUCGGCCACAUUGGGACUGAGACACGGCCCAAACUCCUACGGGAGGCAGCAGUAGGGAAUCUUCCGCAAUGGACGAAAGUCUGACGGAGCAACGCCGCGUGAGUGAAGAAAAGGUUUUCGGAUCGUAAAACUCUGUUGUCAGAGAAGAACAAGUUGGAGAGUAACUGCUCCAGCCUUGACGGUAUCUGACCAGAAAGCCACGGCUAACUACGUGCCAGCAGCGGC